UUUGAACUUCUGUCCGGGUCUGGA
RNAcentral lists this non-coding RNA (24 nucleotides) under Arabidopsis thaliana (thale cress). Lineage: Eukaryota; Viridiplantae; Streptophyta; Magnoliopsida; Brassicales; Brassicaceae. The record is from RNAcentral.